CAAAAAGAGAAGGGGCAACCACAAUCCUCCACAAAGACGUAUAAACUUAAGUAACAAGACCAGUCAUGAUACGGUAAGGUACAUCAAACAGUACAGUCCGAGUCCGAGGUGUAUAACAACGACGUGUUUCAUUUAGUUACAAUAUAGUAAUCGGCUACUUAUCACAGCCAUCUAAAAGAGAUAAAAUCAAAAGAUACAUAAAAACGUUACGUCGAUGCGGAACAUGUAGUAAACGCGGACUUCAUCGAGUCAUUUUCUCAUACUAGGUGAAACAAUAAACAGUCCUUUGAUCAAUCUCUUUCGUACAAAAGCUAUUACAAAAAACAAAAGUCCUAACAAAAGACGAUAAUCUAUCGGUAUACAAUUCCUUUAGUUGAAGUAGAAAGAACUCCAUACAAGAAAGAAGGUCUAAACAAGGCCGUUCUCUCUCUGCUGUCCUCCACUACUUACGUGUCCUCCCCACCACAA
RNAcentral lists this ribosomal RNA (468 nucleotides) under Triticum aestivum (bread wheat). RNAcentral describes it as "partial small subunit ribosomal RNA". Lineage: Eukaryota; Viridiplantae; Streptophyta; Magnoliopsida; Poales; Poaceae. The record is from RNAcentral.